This 413-nucleotide ribosomal RNA is filed under the name uncultured bacterium. RNAcentral describes it as "bacterial SSU rRNA". It matches the Rfam family "Bacterial small subunit ribosomal RNA", at positions 92 to 518 of the family's 1533-position model. The record is from RNAcentral.
CUAGUGGCGGACGGGUGAGUAACGCGUGGGUAACCUGCCUCAUACAGGGGGAUAACAGUCGGAAACGAUUGCUAAAAACCGCAUAAUAUAGCGAAACCGCAUGAUUUUGCUAUCAAAUAGUUUAUAGGGUAUGAGAUGGGCCCGCGUCUGAUUAGCUAGUUGGUGGGGUAAUAGCCUACCAAGGCGACGAUCAGUAGCCGGCUUGAGAGAGUGACCGGCCACAUUGGGACUGAGACACGGCCCAAACUCCUACGGGAGGCAGCAGUGGGGAAUAUUGGACAAUGGGGGAAACCCUGAUCCAGCGAACCGCCGCGUGAGUGAAGAAGUAUUUCGGUAUGUAAAGCUCUAUCAGCAGGGAAGAUAAUGACAGUACCUGACUAAGAAGCCCCGGCUAACUACGUGCCAGCAGCCGC